RNAcentral lists this ribosomal RNA (454 nucleotides) under uncultured bacterium. RNAcentral describes it as "bacterial SSU rRNA". It matches the Rfam family "Bacterial small subunit ribosomal RNA", at positions 28 to 507 of the family's 1533-position model. The record is from RNAcentral.
GACGAACGCUGGCGGCGUGCUUAACACAUGCAAGUCGAGCGAUGAAACUACUUCGGUAGUGAAUUAGCGGCGAACGGGUGAGGAACACGUGAGGAAUCUGCCUUCUACACUGGGAUAACUCCGGGAAACCGGGGCUAAUACCGGAUAUGAAACUUGGUGGCAUCACCGAGUUUGGAAAGUUUUUCGGUAGAAGAUGACCUCGCGGCCUAUCAGCUUGUUGGUGAGGUAAUGGCUCACCAAGGCGACGACGGGUAGCCGGCCUGAGAGGGCGACCGGCCACACUGGGACUGAGACACGGCCCAGACUCCUACGGGAGGCAGCAGUGGGGAAUAUUGGGCAAUGGAGGAAACUCUGACCCAGCGACGCCGCGUGCGGGAUGAAGGCCUGGUGUAACGCUUCAGUAGGAGAAGCGAAAGUGACGGUACCUACAGAAGAAGCACCGGCUAACUAUGUG